Chlorocebus sabaeus (green monkey) is the source of this 212-nucleotide non-coding RNA. NCBI's taxonomy places the organism in Eukaryota, Metazoa, Chordata, Mammalia, Primates, Cercopithecidae. The record is from RefSeq and is a predicted model, not a curated record.
GCUUUCCUUCCAUCAGAGAAGAAAAAAUGCUUUUGCUUUUUGAACUGGCACGUUUUUCCUUGACCUUGAAAUGCAUGGAGAUCUCCUCUGACUGCCUCUCAGACCUCAAGAAGAUGGAAAGCAAAGAUCCUGGGAAGCUGAUUGAAAUGGAAUGUCUGGAGUGUGAAUCAGAAGCUUUAAGACUUGAAAAUCAGAUGAAAAUGUACAUCCGG